GCCUGGGUGGCUCAGUGGUUAAGUGUCUGACUUUGGAUCUUAUGGCUUGUGGGUUCGAGUCCCACCUCGGGCU
Non-coding RNA from Prionailurus viverrinus (fishing cat), 73 nucleotides. The record is from the annotation of a RefSeq genome assembly. Lineage: Eukaryota; Metazoa; Chordata; Mammalia; Carnivora; Felidae.